RNAcentral lists this ribosomal RNA (253 nucleotides) under uncultured bacterium. Its description in RNAcentral is "partial 16S ribosomal RNA". It matches the Rfam family "Bacterial small subunit ribosomal RNA", at positions 524 to 776 of the family's 1533-position model. The record is from RNAcentral.
UGCGAAGGGGGCUAGCGUUGUUCGGAUUUACUGGGCGUAAAGCGCGUGUAGGCGGUUGCCCACGUCGGGGGUGAAAGCCUUGAGCUCAACUCAAGAAAUGCACUCGGUACUGGGUGACUAGAGGACCGGAGAGGAUAGUGGAAUUCCCAGUGUAGUGGUGAAAUACGUAGAGAUUGGGAAGAACACCAGUGGCGAAGGCGGCUAUCUGGACGGUUUCUGACGCUAAGACGCGAAAGCGUGGGGAGCAAACAGG